RNAcentral lists this unclassified non-coding RNA (1157 nucleotides) under Haliotis rubra (blacklip abalone). RNAcentral describes it as "uncharacterized LOC124292286, transcript variant X1". The record is from RNAcentral. Lineage: Eukaryota; Metazoa; Mollusca; Gastropoda; Lepetellida; Haliotidae.
AUGCUAUCUGUUUGCAAUACUGGUAUCUUCCUGGUUGGGGAGCUUCGUGGACAGGCCGAGCUGACCAGUAAACAAUCAGAGAGGGAAGUGUACAUUUUCAGGAUAAAAUGGAGGGUGUUGUUGCCACAAGAGGUCGAAGCAAUCUCGCUGUCUCGGCAGACGGGGAGGUGAGCGUCAACAGAGAGGUUACCAUGACGGCGCUGGCACAUGAUGAAGAAGGAAAUGUUUUCUUAAGAGUGUUCCGUGCACGCACCCGGCAGGUUGUGGGUCAAGUCUCUGGAAUAUUUGCCAUUUCGGGAUCUGAAGAGGAGUCUGCACCGAGUCGUCACCAUUCUGUCACCAUGCCUGACGACGAUGACGAUAUCGAUAAAAUGUCAGUGAAAGUGUGUGUCUGCAUCUUUUCCCUUAUCUUUGGUUCGCUGCCUGUGGCCAUGAUAGUUGUUGGCAUCCUUGACUACAAUCUGUGCCCAGGCAACACCAGACUCGCCAUCUACAUGAUAGCCCAGGGAGCCACCUCUGUCGUCAUCCCCAUCCUGGCAUCCUGCUGGUUUUGCUGCAGGUGUAUUUCAGGAAACUUCAUAGGCGCUAUCUGUGUCAUCAUUGGAUUGUUUAACAUCGGAUGGGGAAUUGUAGGUUCCCUGUGGCUCGCCUCGUCUCCGUGCAAGGAUACGCUUCUAUUCACCCACGCCCUCGGCUUCUCUGUGCCCAUGUGGAUCUUCUACUGCCUCGUGCCCCUGCUGUGCGUGUGUUGUGUGAGAGCCUGGUGCAAGGGCGACGAUUAAACAGGCGGUGGGUUUGGCAGUUGCUUCAGCGUGGAUGAACCAGGUUAUUCGAACAAACUUUACUGGAUGGGCUGAGAUGACAUAUGCGCAGCAGCGAAGAAUCGAGUCCUGGACAAGAAUUACAUAUGUUUUAAUCGAUCAUGUUGUCUGUGAUCAUUAUGUUCAGUAUGGCCAAAUUGUACCUAUUCGUAAGAAAGGCAUACUACUUCAGUCAACAAUUAUAGACGUUUUCGAACAUAUUCUGUUUCCAGAAGAAGAGGUAAAUUAUAUGCAUAUUUUAUAGACUUUCAUAGGCUUAGACACUUGACUCCAUUCAUCAAAUGUAACAGUCUUAAUAUAUUUGUCAGUGGAUAUAAAUAAAUAUUUCAAUGACCA